AUGAACGCUGGCGGCGUGCCUAAUACAUGCAAGUCGAGCGAACAGACGAGGAGCUUGCUCCUCUGACGUUAGCGGCGGACGGGUGAGUAACACGUGGAUAACCUACCUAUAAGACUGGGAUAACUUCGGGAAACCGGAGCUAAUACCGGAUAAUAUAUUGAACCGCAUGUUUCAAUAGUGAAAGACGGUUUUGCUGUCACUUAUAGAUGGAUCCGCGCCGCAUUAGCUAGUUGGUAAGGUAACGGCUUACCAAGGCAACGAUGCGUAGCCGACCUGAGAGGGUGAUCGGCCACACUGGAACUGAGACACGGUCCAGACUCCUACGGGAGGCAGCAGUAGGGAAUCUUCCGCAAUGGGCGAAAGCUUGACGGAGCAACGCCGCGUGAGUGAUGAAGGUCUUCGGAUCGUAAAACUCUGUUAUUAGGGAAGAACAAAUGUGUAAGUAACUAUGCACGUCUUGACGGUACCUAAUCAGAAAGCCACGGCUAACUACGUG
This 496-nucleotide ribosomal RNA is filed under the name uncultured bacterium. Its description in RNAcentral is "partial 16S ribosomal RNA". It matches the Rfam family "Bacterial small subunit ribosomal RNA", at positions 29 to 507 of the family's 1533-position model. The record is from RNAcentral.